This 417-nucleotide ribosomal RNA is filed under the name uncultured bacterium. RNAcentral describes it as "bacterial SSU rRNA". It matches the Rfam family "Bacterial small subunit ribosomal RNA", at positions 28 to 410 of the family's 1533-position model. The record is from RNAcentral.
GACGAACGCUGGCGGCGUGCCUAAUACAUGCAAGUCGAACGCACUCUCGUUUAGAUUGAAGGAGCUUGCUCCUGAUUGAUAAACAUUUGAGUGAGUGGCGGACGGGUGAGUAACACGUGGGUAACCUGCCCUAAAGUGGGGGAUAACAUUUGGAAACAGAUGCUAAUACCGCAUAAAACCUAACACCGCAUGGUGUAGGUUGAAAGAUGGUUUCGGCUAUCACUUUAGGAUGGACCGCGGUGCAUUAGUUAGUUGGUGAGGUAAAAGGCUCACCAAGACCGUGAUGCAUAGCCGACCUGAGAGGGUAAUCGGCCACACUGGGACUGAGACACGGCCCAGACUCCUACGGGAGGCAGCAGUAGGGAAUCUUCCACAAUGGACGAAAGUACUGAUGGAGCAACGACCGCGUGAGUGAAG